RNAcentral lists this ribosomal RNA (393 nucleotides) under uncultured archaeon. Its description in RNAcentral is "bacterial SSU rRNA". It matches the Rfam family "Archaeal small subunit ribosomal RNA", at positions 489 to 882 of the family's 1478-position model. The record is from RNAcentral.
GGGACAGGUCGUUUAUUGAGGCCUAAGCAUCCGUAGCCGGCUCUGCAAGUCUUCGGUUAAAUCCACCUGCUCAACAGAUGGGCUGCUGGAGAUACUACAGCGCUAGGGAGUGGGAGAGGCAGACGGUAUUCAGUGGGUAGGGGUAAAAUCCUCUGAUCCAUUGAGGACCACCAGUGGCGAAGGCGGUCUGCCAGAACACGUUCGACGGUGAGGGAUGAAAGCUGGGGGAGCAAACCGGAUUAGAUACCCGGGUAGUCCCAGCUGUAAACGAUGCAAACUCGGUGAUGCAUUGGCUUAUGGCCAAUGCAGUGCCGCAGGGAAGCCGUUAAGUUUGCCGCCUGGGAAGUACGGACGCAAGUCUGAAACUUAAAGGAAUUGGCGGGGGAGCACAAA